RNAcentral lists this ribosomal RNA (253 nucleotides) under uncultured bacterium. Its description in RNAcentral is "partial 16S ribosomal RNA". It matches the Rfam family "Bacterial small subunit ribosomal RNA", at positions 524 to 776 of the family's 1533-position model. The record is from RNAcentral.
UACGUAGGGGGCGAGCGUUGUCCGGAAUUACUGGGCGUAAAGGGCGUGUAGGCGGUCGUGUAAGUUUCGGGUGAAAGGCGAGGGCUCAACCCUCGUUGGGCUCGGAAGACUGCAGGACUAGAGGACCGGAGAGGGAAGUGGAAUUGCUGGUGGAACGGUGGAAUGUGUAGAGAUCAGCAGGAACACCCGUGGCGAAGGCGGCUUCCUGGCCGGUAACUGACGCUGAGACGCGAAAGCUGGGGGAGCGAACGGG